Molecule: non-coding RNA, 45 nt
Organism: Schistosoma curassoni
Lineage: Eukaryota; Metazoa; Platyhelminthes; Trematoda; Strigeidida; Schistosomatidae
Source: Rfam
AUCUAGUUGACGAGUCCCAUAUAGGACGAAACGCGUGUUGUGAAU